Molecule: long non-coding RNA, 2837 nt
Filed under: Homo sapiens (human)
Lineage: Eukaryota; Metazoa; Chordata; Mammalia; Primates; Hominidae
Description: non-protein coding lnc-C5orf38-1:1
Source: RNAcentral
CUCACUUCGAGGCGUUCUUCCACUACCGGUCCAAUGUUCCUAGAAGGCAAUGCAAUUUGUGGACAAGCCCAUGAAACCCAAAGGUGAAAAAGGGAAACAGGUUUACACAGACAGCCCUUCCUGCCACGUCUCCAGACAUUCCUGCUGGAAUCUAAUCACCUUUGUCUUUAACCAGGCUUCCUGCCCACAUCUUACCAGUUCUGUUCUAGCAGCAAAGUUUGCUUUACUUUCCUGAGGAUACGCACGUGCACCCUGGAUCUCAUCUCCACAUGCAGGGUGGUGGGUCCCUUCCAUUUCUAUUUCCUGGCUCAUCACCUGUCUUCAUGCUUGGGACUACCUUUCUGUUGAAGGCCCACCUAUGGCUUCCCAUGGACCAAUCAGCACGUACUUCCUCACUUCUGAAUCCAUAAAAAUCCCUGACUCAGCUAGACUCCAUGCUCUUUGGGACGACCUGACUGCAGAUAGGAGCCACCCACUUCAGGAUUCCUCUACUUUGUUUGAGAUGACCUGCCUGUGGAUAGGAGCUACCCAUUUCUGGUCUCCUCUACACUCUUCAGGACAACCUGUCCACACAUAGCAGCUACCCACAUCGGGACUUCUCUAUAUUCUUCAGGAAAACCUGCACAUGGAUUGGAGCUACCCACAUUGGGAGUCCUCUACAUUCUUCAGGAUGACCUGCCUGUGGAGAGGAGUUACCCAUUUCAAGUCUCUACACUCUUAGGGAUGACUGCCCACAGAUGGGAGCUAUCCACUUCAAGUCUCCUCUAUACUCUUCAGGACAACCUGCCUGUGGAUAGGAGCUACCCACUUCAGGAUGCCUCUAAACUCUCUGGAUGAUCUGCCUGUAGAUAGCAGCUACCCACUUCAAGACUUUUCUAAACUCUUCAGGACAACCCACCCAUAGAUUGGAGCUACCCAAAUUUGGACUCCACUACACUCUUUGGGAUGACCUGCCUGUGGAUAGGAGUUAGCCACUUUGAGUCUCUAUACUCUUAGGGGUGACCUGUCUACAGAUAGGAGCUACACACUUCAGGUCCCCUCUCUGCUGAGACCUGUUCUGUCACUCAGUAAAGCUCCUCCUCACAUUGCUCAACCUCCAGUUGUCCAUGUAGCUUCAUUCUUCCUGGACAUGGGACAAGAACUUGGGACCUACUGAACAACAGGAGCGAAAAGAGCUGUUACCCAUUCCUGGAUGGCUGGCUGAGCUGUGGGCAAUGACAAGCUCCUGGACUGUGGGAGUGAAGAGUGGCACCCCUUCUGGGGGCCCAGACCUCAGGAUUCCCUGAGCCAGAGCUGCUGUAACACUAUAGUCCUCACACCCUCCAACAGUGCCGGGUGGCUGCCCCACACGACAGGAAGCAGUAGCAGGGCCAGGUCAGCCCAGCGGCUGCAGGCUGGGGAGGCAUAGCAGGACUGAAGGAGCUGUAACACAAACAGACUGAAACACACAAACACUGGAAACACCUCCCUGCUCACCACGCUUCAGGUGGCAAAAAGGAGAGAAGAGCUGAAGCCCUUCUGGGAUCCCAGACCUUGGGGCUCCACAAGCCUGAGCUGUGACAUGCUGUAACACCCUCUCUGGGGUUCUGUGGUUUUUGGCAUCUUCAAGCUUUUGGGCACUACCAUGUUCCCUGGCGCCUUCAGUAGAAACUGUUUGCGAUACGCCUGGUCCAGUUGCAGCGUCACACAGAGCUGGCAUCUGUGCUGGUACCAGGAGCUGCCCACCCACUGGCACUGCGCAGUGGCUGGACCUGUGCUUGCUCGGUCUUACACCCCCUUGCUGCUCCAUGCCUGGCUCACCCUUGGCAGGUGUGGGAUCUGGGCUGGUAGCGAGAGCCAAGCACAGCCUGCCAGGCCGAGUGGGUGGAAUGAGCCCAGUGGGAGCAAACAAAACCAAAGCAGAGGGACCGCCAGCCAUCAUGGAGGUUUCCUGCUGGAGAAGUGACAUCCUAAGGACCCUGUGACAGCCAUAUCCUCGCAGCCUCACGUCCUCACUGCAUCUCAGGGGGAAGAUACCCACCUGGGCGUCAGUAACAGCUGCUUUCCACCUUGGGAGAGUUUGCAAGAGAAAGAGAAAGAGAAAGAACAAGAAAAAGAUAAUGAAAGCCAGAAAAAAUGAAAAAGACCCUUCCACAUUUCUUGCCUCAUGACCACUUCCACGCAGCCGUGUCUCUGGUUCUCUGGCCAUCCUCCCACAACCUGGAGAGUUUCCACUUCGAAGAUGUUUUUUCUCAUGUGCAGGCUGUUUACUAAAGGGCCACACAGCAUGUUACCUUCAAUCCGUAGACAUUUCUGGGAGUCAGCUGCGUGCACUGCAGUUGAAGAUGAGAACUAUUGAAUGCUUACCCAGUGCCAGGCCUGUGUCUCCACGCCUCUCGCCUGUCCCCCCUUAGCACCCUAUGAGGUCGACACUGUGGUCACCCUCCCUUGGCAGGUGCAGAGCAGAGGUUUGGCCUUGCAACAGAUGGACCAACAGAACACUAGGAAACACGAUUCAAGUAGCAUCUUGAAAUGUGAUCCUGCAUUGGGGGUCCCCUCUCUUCACUGCACCCGGAACUUCCUCCAAGAAACAGUGGUCUGUGUGGGCACAAAUGAGCUACAGCACGUAUAAGUCAAUGGGAAGAAAGGAAAUGCUCACUAUGCUAGAAGUGACAGUAGAAACUUCCAUUGUGUGUGACUGGAGAGGCACAAAUGAAGGGCAUCUCCCAAAGUGAGUGAGAAGAGUUCAGACUGAAUAUCUCAAAACCUAAGCUCAUGUAAGGGAACAGGCAGGGCAGCCCACUGGAUUGCUGUCUCUCCUAUGAAAAGGAAUCACUGGAGCUGGUGGCACAUGGGUG